RNAcentral lists this ribosomal RNA (301 nucleotides) under uncultured bacterium. Its description in RNAcentral is "partial 16S ribosomal RNA". It matches the Rfam family "Bacterial small subunit ribosomal RNA", at positions 509 to 809 of the family's 1533-position model. The record is from RNAcentral.
CAGUAGCCACGGUAAUACGUAGGUGGCAAGCGUUGUCCGGAAUUAUUGGGCGUAAAGGGCUCGCAGGCGGUUUCUUAAGUCUGAUGUGAAAGCCCCCGGCCCAACCGGGGAGGGUCAUUGGAAACUGGGAAACUUGAGUGCAGAAGAGGAGAGUGGAAUUCCACGUGUAGCGGUGAAAUGCGUAGAGAUGUGGAGGAACACCAGUGGCGAAGGCGACUCUCUGGUCUGUAACUGACGCUGAGGAGCGAAAGCGUGGGGAGCGAACAGGAUUAGAUACCCCCGUAGUCCCUGUCUCUUAUAU